UCCUGUUUGUUGAGACAAAGUCUCGCGCU
This 29-nucleotide non-coding RNA is filed under the name Rattus norvegicus (Norway rat). The record is from RNAcentral. Lineage: Eukaryota; Metazoa; Chordata; Mammalia; Rodentia; Muridae.